GAUGAACGCUGGCGGCGUGCCUAAUACAUGCAAGUCGAGCGAACAGACGAGGAGCUUGCUCCUCUGACGUUAGCGGCGGACGGGUGAGUAACACGUGGAUAACCUACCUAUAAGACUGGGAUAACUUCGGGAAACCGGAGCUAAUACCGGAUAAUAUAUUGAACCGCAUGGUUCAAUAGUGAAAGACGGUUUUGCUGUCACUUAUAGAUGGAUCCGCGCCGCAUUAGCUAGUUGGUAAGGUAACGGCUUACCAAGGCAACGAUGCGUAGCCGACCUGAGAGGGUGAUCGGCCACACUGGAACUGAGCCACGGUCCAGACUCCUACGGGAGGCAGCAGUAGGGAAUCUUCCGCAAUGGGCGAAAGCUUGACGGAGCAACGCCGCGUGAGUGAUGAAGGUCUUCGGAUCGUAAAACUCUGUUAUUAGGGAAGAACAAAUGUGUAAGUAACUGUGCACGUCUUGACGGUACCUAAUCAGAAAGCCACGGCUAACUACGUG
RNAcentral lists this ribosomal RNA (497 nucleotides) under uncultured bacterium. RNAcentral's name for it is "partial 16S ribosomal RNA". It matches the Rfam family "Bacterial small subunit ribosomal RNA", at positions 28 to 507 of the family's 1533-position model. The record is from RNAcentral.